Molecule: long non-coding RNA, 1586 nt
Filed under: Marmota monax (woodchuck)
Lineage: Eukaryota; Metazoa; Chordata; Mammalia; Rodentia; Sciuridae
Source: RNAcentral
UUUUCUUGGUUUUUGGUUGGGGUAGGGGGUGUGAGGGAUUGAAUGAACCCAGGAGUACUUAACCACUGAGCCACUCUUUUUUUUUUUUAUUUUGAAACAGAGUCUGCUUAAAUUGAUGAGGCUAGCCUUGAACUUUGGAUCCUCCUACCUCAGUCUCCCAAGUCACUGGGAUUAUAGGAAUGUGCCACCACUCCCAGCUACAUGAGAGCAUUAUUUAAAAAAUAAAUAAAUAUAAAUAUAUAUAUUCACACACACAUACAUAGCACAAUCAGAAGUGAAAUGUUAUGGUAAUUACAUGUUUUGUAAGUUUUAAUGUAUUUUUAAACUUCUUUAAUCCUAUGAAAGUGUCAGAGUAUUUCAGAUGCAUACAUAUUUAACUAAAAUUACAUCUAAUUAAAAACUAAAAGUAGAUAAUAACUUUGCCAAAAAUGUAAUUUUAAAUUAUUUUUUAAUACCAAAAUAGCCUAGCUUAGAAAAACACAGUAGUAUACUUGUUCAACACAAGAAAUUUUGUUUUCUCAGUAUUGCCUUGAAAUGUCCUUUCAUAUUAUGUAAUUUUUAACUUUUUCUUAUCAGAGAAGAUUAACUGUUUUAAGAUCAAGGAACUCAUGAAUCCUGUGGGGUAUGAACUAUGUUAUGCCCUAUAAUAAUGUUUGAUCUAACUUAAGUCUUAAAAUUGAGUUUCUGCUUGGGUAAAAUAAGUGUUUUUGAAGGACCUCAGGUGCUCAGAAUUGAGUCAUUUUUUAUCAUACUCUUCAUUAGCUUUUCUGUACUAGAUAUGUUGUUUUAUUUUACCUUGACAGUUUUUAUCCUCCGCCUACAAUUCUAUGCUCUCAUUCCAUACUUUAUUUAGCAUUUUUCUUCCAAAACAUCUUCAAUAUUUUGGAUGUAUUUUCUUGAAAAGCUACAUAAUAAUCCUUAUGUUUUUAAAUUUUAUGUAAAUGAAACUAUGGUAUAAAUUUGAUUCUAUAACUCAUAAAAUAGUAGAUUUUCAAAACCUAUUCAUGUUACUUAUAUUUAACAUGCUUCUAACUAGUAUACAUUAUUGUAUUGUGUUUACAUGUUAUACCUCAAGUACUUAAGUUGUACCUAUCUGUUCGCACAUCUGCAGACUUAUACAUGUGUUCCUAUGAGCCUGCCCUGUAGUUUCUUUGGUAUAUAUAUGGUAUAUAUUUGAGUAUAUGAAUAUUUAAUUUCACUAAGUACUUCUGAAUUAUCCUUGGGAAUGGUUGUACCAGUUUUCCUUCUACCAGCAAGACAUAAGGCUUUAUUUUCUCUACAUCUUCAGCAGCACUUGAUACUUUGAUUUUUCGCUAAUCUGAUGUGUAUGAAUAGUACUUUUUCUUAAUAUGCAUAAUCUGAUUACUCAGGGUAAAUUAUGCUUUUUAAUCAUUCUGAGUUUCCAUUCUGUGCAUUGCCUAUACUUAGAAUUUGUCCACUUUCUAUUAGGUUUUUCUCUUUCUUGCUGACUACAAUAUAAAAAAUUAUAUAUCCUCAAUAUUAUUCCCUGUCAGAUUGAGAUGAUGGAAAUAACUUAUUCUUUUGUUAAUUCUCAUCUUUAGUAUCUUUCAUGAAACAGAAAUCCC